AGCGUAGACGGUGUGGCAAGUCUGAUGUGAAAGGCAUGGGCUCAACCUGUGGACUGCAUUGGAAACUGUCAUACUUGAGUGCCGGAGGGGUAAGCGGAAUUCCUAGUGUAGCGGUGAAAUGCGUAGAUAUUAGGAGGAACACCAGUGGCGAAGGCGGCUUACUGGACGGUAACUGACGUUGAGGCUGAAAGCGUGGGGAGCAAACA
RNAcentral lists this ribosomal RNA (206 nucleotides) under uncultured bacterium. RNAcentral describes it as "partial 16S ribosomal RNA". It matches the Rfam family "Bacterial small subunit ribosomal RNA", at positions 568 to 774 of the family's 1533-position model. The record is from RNAcentral.